GACGAACGCUGGCGGCGUGCUUAACACAUGCAAGUCGAACGGAAAGGCCCUGCUUUUGUGGGGUGCUCGAGUGGCGAACGGGUGAGUAACACGUGAGUAACCUGCCCUUGACUUUGGGAUAACUUCAGGAAACUGGGGCUAAUACCGGAUAGGAGCUCCUGCUGCAUGGUGGGGGUUGGAACGUUUCGGCGGUUGGGGAUGGACUCGCGGCUUAUCAACUUGUUGGUGGGGUAGUGGCUUACCAAGGCUUUGACGGGUAGCCGGCCUGGGAGGGUGACCGGCCACAAUGGGCCUGAGAGAGGGCCCAGACUCCUACGGGAGGCAGCAGGGGGGAAUAUUGCACAAUGGGCGGAAGCCUGAUGCAGGAACGCCGCGUGCGGGAUGACGGCCUUCGGGCUGUAAACCGCUUUCGCCUGUGACGAAGCGUGAGUGACGGUAAUGGGUAAAGAAGCACCGGCUAACUACGUG
This 468-nucleotide ribosomal RNA is filed under the name uncultured bacterium. RNAcentral describes it as "partial 16S ribosomal RNA". It matches the Rfam family "Bacterial small subunit ribosomal RNA", at positions 28 to 507 of the family's 1533-position model. The record is from RNAcentral.